Molecule: ribosomal RNA, 301 nt
Filed under: uncultured bacterium
Lineage: Bacteria
Description: partial 16S ribosomal RNA
Rfam family: Bacterial small subunit ribosomal RNA
Source: RNAcentral
CAGCAGCCGCGGGAAUACGGAGGAUCCAAGCGUUAUACGGAAUCAUUGGGUUUAAAGGGUCCGUAGGCGGUCUUGUAAGUCAGUGGUGAAAGCCCAUCGCUCAACGGUGGAACGGCCAUUGAUACUGCAGGACUUGAAUUAUUGGGAAGUAACUAGAAUAUGUAGUGUAGCGGUGAAAUGCUUAGAGAUUACAUGGAAUACCAAUUGCGAAGGCAGGUUACUACCAAUUGAUUGACGCUGAUGGACGAAAGCGUGGGUAGCGAACAGGAUUAGAGACCCCUGUAGUCCCUGUCUCUUAUAU